CCUCCGCCAGAGAACUACAAGUGAAAAACUUCAAACUUAAAGGACUUGACGGUAUCCCAAACCGACCUAGAGGAGCCUGUCCUAUAAUCGAUACCCCCCGCUCCACCCAACCUCAACUAGCACAAUAUCAGCCUAUAUACCGCCGUCGACAGCCUACCCUAUGAAGGUCCAACAGUAGACAUAAUAGCCCCCCACUAACACGUCAGGUCAAGGUGUAGCAAAUGUUGAGGAAGAGAUUGGCUACAUUUUUUAUGAUAAAAAAAACGAAAAGUAUUAUGAAAUAGUACAUGAAGGUGAAUUUAGUAGUAAAAUAAACAAGAGUGUUUAUUUUAACACCGCUCUGGGAUGCGUACACACCGCCC
This 362-nucleotide ribosomal RNA is filed under the name Anatololacerta danfordi (Danford's lizard). RNAcentral describes it as "partial 12S ribosomal RNA". Lineage: Eukaryota; Metazoa; Chordata; Lepidosauria; Squamata; Lacertidae. The record is from RNAcentral.